UACGGGGGGGGCAAGCGUUGUUCGGAAUUACUGGACGUAAAGGGCUCGUAGGCGGCCAACUAAGUCAGACGUGAAAUCCCCAGGCUCAACCUGGGAACUGCGUCUGAUACUGGAUGGCUUGAAUCCGGGAGAGGGAUGCAGAAUUCCAGGUGUAGCGGUGAAAUGCGUAGAUAUCUGGAGGAAUACCGGUGGCGAAGGCGGCAUCCUGGACCGGCAUUGACGCUGAGGCGCGAAAGCCAGGGGAGCAAACGGG
This 253-nucleotide ribosomal RNA is filed under the name uncultured bacterium. Its description in RNAcentral is "partial 16S ribosomal RNA". It matches the Rfam family "Bacterial small subunit ribosomal RNA", at positions 524 to 776 of the family's 1533-position model. The record is from RNAcentral.